Molecule: ribosomal RNA, 232 nt
Filed under: uncultured bacterium
Lineage: Bacteria
Description: partial 16S ribosomal RNA
Rfam family: Bacterial small subunit ribosomal RNA
Source: RNAcentral
UGAGUAACCUGCCCCUCUCUCUGGGAUAACCCCGGGAAACCGGAGCUAAUACCGGAUACUCCGGCGGGAUCGCAUGGUCCGGCCGGGAAAGGUCCGCCGGAGAGGGAUGGGCCCGCGGCCUAUCAGCUUGUUGGUGGGGUGAUGGCCUACCAAGGCGACGACGGGUAGCCGGCCUGAGAGGGCGACCGGCCACACUGGGACUGAGACACGGCCCAGACUCCUACGGGAGGCA